AUUGAACGCUGGCGGCAUGCUUUACACAUGCAAGUCGAACGGCAGCGCGGGCUUCGGCCUGGCGGCGAGUGGCGAACGGGUGAGUAAUACAUCGGAACGUGCCCAGUAGUGGGGGUAGCUCGGCGAAAGCCGGAUUAAUACCGCAUACGACCUGAGGGUGAAAGCGGGGGAUCUUCGGACCUCGCGCUAUUGGAGCGGCCGAUGGCAGAUUAGCUAGUUGGUGGGGUAAAGGCCUACCAAGGCGACGAUCUGUAGCUGGUCUGAGAGGACGACCAGCCACACUGGGACUGAGACACGGCCCAGACUCCUACGGGAGGCAGCAGUGGGGAAUUUUGGACAAUGGGCGAAAGCCUGAUCCAGCAAUGCCGCGUGUGUGAUGAAGGCCUUCGGGUUGUAAAGCACUUUUGGCGGGAACGAAAAGGACUGUGCCAAUACCACGGUUCGAUGACGGUACCCGCAGAAUAAGCACCGGCUAACUACGUG
This 483-nucleotide ribosomal RNA is filed under the name uncultured bacterium. RNAcentral describes it as "partial 16S ribosomal RNA". It matches the Rfam family "Bacterial small subunit ribosomal RNA", at positions 29 to 507 of the family's 1533-position model. The record is from RNAcentral.